Molecule: RNA transcript, 4426 nt
Organism: Pygocentrus nattereri (red-bellied piranha)
Lineage: Eukaryota; Metazoa; Chordata; Actinopteri; Characiformes; Serrasalmidae
Gene name: stimulated by retinoic acid gene 8 protein homolog
Exons: 10
Source: RefSeq, a predicted model, not a curated record
ACACCCCUCACACUUCCUGCAGCGCAGGACAACACAGGCUGCUUAAAGGCACAGGAGUCUCACUUCAGACCGAACCCCUCAGAGACGGGCAGGAGCAACUGUGGUCACCACUGAUGGGCGUUUUUCUACUCUUUCAACAGUGGAGGAUACAUGUUACUGGUCUGUGGAGCAAUGGUGUCAGAAUGGUGAAUAGAGCAUUGCUGGACCAUUAGCUGUUGAAAAGGUAGAAGUCCUGCCGGUAUGUGGUGGCGGGAAAACGUGUGAACAGCAGAGGGCGCCAUAAUGGCACGACCACCGGACAUGUCUUGUAGAGGCGUUGUCCAUUGUAACGAGCAGGGAAAGAAGAGGGAAGCGGCUUCUGGACAUCGGUCAGUGCAGGGAACAGCGCUGCAGGCCUGCCAGCGGGUCACUUUAGCAGAUCUCUUUGAGUCCCUUAGAAAUGUAGUGUGUCCUUCGACUCAGAAGACCCCUGCCAAGUGGAAGAUCCUUGAUCAUGCCAAGGGAUUUCUACUUGAGAAGGAGGCCUACCUCAGUAAAUUACUUGCACUGAAAGCCGUUUUCCUGCAAGAUGAUGGAGGACCAAAGAGUUUGGAAGAGGUGCGAGAACAGUAUAAGAGACUGUAUUCCAAAUGCUUUUUGCACACCUGUAGAUGCAGGCAUAGAAUUCAUGUGCCUGAUGUGGACCAAGGACCAUGUAGCAAUGAGGAAGACUCUGCUGAUGAGGAAGUGGAUGUAGCACUGCAGUCCCAGUCCUCUGGGUUAUCUGCCUACAGCAUCCAGGAGUUUGAGGGAUAUCUCUUUUUAUACAGGCAGACUCUAGAGCUCUUACUGCGCAGUGGAAUCCUCUCCCCAGACCAGACGGGCCUGUCUAUGGUGUCAGAGGCCAUCUCAGGCCUGUGGAAUAGCCUGCCUCCAGAGCAAAGGGCUGCAGUCCAGCAGUGCACACUGAAAGAAAGUGCUGUCACUUGGAUAGAACCAGCUAAUAACACCCCCUGCAGCUCACUGGACUCAUCCCAGCUUACCAACUUAAACGCAUCUGGAACUGCCUUCGAGGAGGAUCUUCUUCAGGAUGCUUAUGAUGUGGUGCAGAGAGACAUGGAUGACACUACAGCAAACAGCCCUUCACUGGUGCCUCCACUGAAUGGUGACAAUGAGAAGCUGAGUGAAAUCUACAAAGACGUUAUGGGCUUCGUCAGGAGCCACAUGUCUGAGGACCAGAAACUCACGCAGGACUGAGAAUUCCCACCAUCCACCCAAAAAUAUCCAGCCAACAGUGUCCUAUGGGCAGUGUCCUGUGACCAUUGAUGAAGGACUAGAGGACGACCAACACAAACUGUACUGCAACAGAGCUAUUCUCUCUGACCUUAUAUCUACAAGGUGGACCAACAAGAGUCUGGCAGGCCAAGCGGGAGGCAAAGGCUUCUGAGGGCUGAGAUCUGAGCAGGAGCGGCCUGAUGCUGCAGACAGGUAUGAACAGAAGAGAGACCGCAGCGGUUGGAUGUGUCACAGACACUCGGAGAAAGUUUCCAUCAGAGCAGCCGGCGAUAAAAAAAAGGAGCAGACUCGUUUAGUGCACUGGAAGACGAAGAGAAACUUGCUCUUUUUUUGUAUCUUUCUAGAACUCACUCCACAUCUUUCUCCCAUGCACAAGAAACUCCCUUUGUCUCCCAUAUUCAAAGGGGCCGAACCUUUACAGCACACUGAAGGUUUUAUUUACUACUCCUGGGUGAUAAAGUGCUGAUGGGAUACACUUUACUGAUUCUGAGCCUAGAAAAGUAAAACAACUGAAGUGAACAAGACUGACCACACAACAUUAAUCAUACAGACUAACCAUACACAUACGGUUGCUAUAGUUUGCAAAAGGGAAUGUAAACACCUCACUACACUGAAAAAAUGAUAAAGCGCUUGGGCUUUAAAUUGGUGGAGGAUUCAAUUAUUUAAACCAGCAGUUUUCAAAAUAUUGGACCAAAUAUCAUCCUUGACUAAACCAAAAAAACAACAACAAAAAACCCUACAUACUAGGGCAUAAUCAUAAAACUGACUGAUAUCACACAAAAAAGGAAUUGGAAAAUCAAAUUUCCACUGAUAAAAGAGGUCUUCUAUGUUGUAAACCAAGGUCUUCUAUGUUGUAAACCAAGGUCUUCUAUGUUGUAAUGCGUAUACUUUUAUAUUCAUAAAAGGAUCCAUAAUAGUAGUGGGCAGUACACUGGUUAAAAUUCUGAGAUAAACAUUAUAAUCGCACGCCACAAAUAAGCACAAAUAACAGAACAUGCAAGCAGUUAUCCCAAUUGGUUGAACAGCUGGGCCAGGGAUCACAAUUCAAAUAAAAAUGAAAAUGCAGCAGAUCCUCAAUCACCUCUCGCGGUCCAGUUUGUUGCAUCUGAAGUAGUCCACUUUUAUUUUUUCACCACAGCAGACAUAAUUGAAUAGCUGGCCUUUUGGGGUUUGUGUCAGUCUAACACGGACAACAAAGUGCUCCUGUUUAUCCUCGUACCUCCUAAUAGGAGCAGCCUGACUCAAUCAGCUGCAUCACACAACAUUCUUAGCGUUUUUGUGUGCAACAACUUGUAGACCAGCUGGUACUAACAGUGGUUAGUUUCAUUUAUUCAAUUUAGAUUGACUAUGACCAUGCAUAUUAAUCAGCAUUUCUGUAAAUGUGCCAGUAUAGCCAAUUUGGCUCAUUCAAAAUAAAUGCAUUUUUCCCCCCAAUUUCCAGCUGUGUCUGACAGUUGGAGGUACAAGUGCAUAAACCACACAAAUCACAGACAAAUUUGACUAGUUUCAUUUUUUCGUGUUUCUCAUUCCACCUUCAAAGGUGUAGCAGUUACACCCAGGUGCCUGUACAGCUGCCCCACUAAUUCAGAAGUGAAAUAACAUUUAGCACUGUUUUUGUCAGGCCUGCAAAUCUAGUGUCAGAAUGCAAUAUUGACAUGGAUUUGUCUAUUGGUUUUUCCGUUUUGAUUCUACUAUAUUGCACAAUUUUUUUCUGAUUUACUUUGGAUCUUAAAAAUGAUUCUUACUGUAAGGUACAUUCCAAAACAAUAAGCCACAGUUAGCCUGUAAGAAUAGGUCCAAUUAAGAAUCAAAAACAGUUCAUUUCCAUUACUUCCAAACAUACCGUAUUCAAAGGCCUGAAUCAGUGAAAAAUGCUAUCAUGAGUUUAGACACAUCACCUCCCUCACUCCCCUAUGGUGUGACCACAGGGUCUGUUUCAGAUCUGUGGAAAGCACUGGAUGGUUAUCUUAAGUGAAAUGGAAAAAUAGCUCAUUUUAAAGCUUAGUAAAGAUUAAAGAAGUGUAAAAGUAGAGGAGGCAGUGGAUAGGGCAAGAUGGAGGCAGAUGAUCCGCAGUGGCGACCCCUAAAGGGAGCAGCCGAAAGAAGAAGAAGUAAAGAUUAAAGAAGAAAUAUUGUAUAUAUAUCAGCUGAUAAAGUUCUUAAUCUGUUUUGGUAGAGAGUAAAAGAAAAAGUGAUAUCUAAUUUCUGGUAUUAUGCUCUUAUUCUAAUCUUGAUAAGAUACUUCUAAGCCACCAGUAACAAACUGUUCACCUUUAAGAUUGCAAUACCAGCUGACCUGGUGAACACCACUAUGAUUACAAUAACAAAAGAGUAAAUGCAUUAAAAUCUGAUCGUUAUCAUAAGAAUAAUGUGUCAUAACAAAAAGAAACUUUUGUGAAGAAAACACAACUAAACACUAAAGCUGGGGUGCUCUGCAACCUGUAAGUAGCCAUGCUGUGAUUUUAUCCAUGACAUUGAAGCCAGAUCAUCGUAAAUUGAAAUUUUCAUAAUGAGCAAACAAUUUGUUGAGAUACAACAUAACAAAUGAGAGAGUCUGGUAGUCUAAUAGUGUAGCCUAGCUUAUUUACAGAGAGGUUUAUUUUCUUUUCCUGCUUGUGUCUAUCUUGACCUGUUGUGUUAGCCACCACAGUGCAACGCUGUAAACCGGUAAUCAGAGCCCAGGUCAUCAAAUUAUUCAUGAUCCCACCAAAAAAGUGAAAACAGCUUGUUUCAUUCUAGGGCCAAAUGAGAGGGUUGUAAAUGGGUGUGUAUAACUACAUCUGGGCAUUUUUCACCCUGAGCAGUCACAAACCUUCUAUGUAGAGGACAAUUUAAAAUGCUGAGUAAAUGCAAUUUAUGGCACUUUUAACCAAGCAAGGCCUAUAACAGAUAAUACAACACAUAUAUGUACCUUAGUUUUAUCCACGUGUCUAACUUGCAUGCUUUCUGUGCACAGGAUAUAUUGAUUUCACUUGUCAGCUUUGCCCAAUGUAGAGGCAUUUGACCAUGACAUAGUUCUCCAUGUCACACAGUACAGCAGUGGGAUGUAAGAGCUAUGGUACUGACCAAAGCUAGCUGUGUAUUGUUCACCCUUCUCCUUCCUGAAGCAUCUCUCCCUGCUUCAAGAUAGAUUAUGUUAAUAAGAUCCUAA